Molecule: ribosomal RNA, 427 nt
Filed under: uncultured Edwardsiella sp.
Lineage: Bacteria; Pseudomonadati; Pseudomonadota; Gammaproteobacteria; Enterobacterales; Hafniaceae
Description: partial 16S ribosomal RNA
Rfam family: Bacterial small subunit ribosomal RNA
Source: RNAcentral
UGGGGAAUAUUGCACAAUGGGCGCAAGCCUGAUGCAGCCAUGCCGCGUGUAUGAAGAAGGCCUUCGGGUUGUAAAGUACUUUCAGUAGGGAGGAAGGUGUGCGUGUGAAUAGCACGUGCAAUUGACGUUACCUACAGAAGAAGCACCGGCUAACUCCGUGCCAGCAGCCGCGGUAAUACGGAGGGUGCAAGCGUUAAUCGGAAUUACUGGGCGUAAAGCGCACGCAGGCGGUUUGUUAAGUUGGAUGUGAAAUCCCCGGGCUUAACCUGGGAACUGCAUCCAAGACUGGCAAGCUAGAGUCUCGUAGAGGGAGGUAGAAUUCCAGGUGUAGCGGUGAAAUGCGUAGAGAUCUGGAGGAAUACCGGUGGCGAAGGCGGCCUCCUGGACGAAGACUGACGCUCAGGUGCGAAAGCGUGGGGAGCAAACA